RNAcentral lists this ribosomal RNA (253 nucleotides) under uncultured bacterium. RNAcentral's name for it is "partial 16S ribosomal RNA". It matches the Rfam family "Bacterial small subunit ribosomal RNA", at positions 524 to 776 of the family's 1533-position model. The record is from RNAcentral.
GACGUAGGGCGCGAGCGUUGUCCGGAUUUAUUGGGCGUAAAGAGCUCGUAGGCGGUUUGUCGCGUCUGCUGUGAAAGCCCGGGGCUCAACCCCGGGUCUGCAGUGGGUACGGGCAGACUAGAGUGCAGUAGGGGAGACUGGAAUUCCUGGUGUAGCGGUGAAAUGCGCAGAUAUCAGGAGGAACACCGAUGGCGAAGGCAGGUCUCUGGGCUGUAACUGACGCUGAGGAGCGAAAGCAUGGGGAGCGAACAGG